CAGGGAACUUCAUGCAAGUUUCAAAAGGAAUUGCCAGCUUUAUAACAACACAACUGUACACAAAAAUCACUAAACAAACAAAGCACGUCCAAAUAAUUUUAGUUUAGUCACUCUACUUUUGUAUGCCCAGAAAAGGCGGAUUUGGCCACCUCCAGAAAACUUGCAAUGAAACUGUCAAUGAUCAUGAUGCACCAAUAACUGCACGCCCACAAUAAUUUUAGUUUAGUCACUCUACUUUCAAAUGAAAUGAAAGAAGAAAGCAAAAUGCAAAAACAUCAUAACCCUUUGGACAGACCCAUAACUAUAUGGACUGCAGUUAUUUGCAAAACAUUAACUACAAAAAUAUUCUUGAGUUACCUUAGAUUAAGGGCAAACAUAGAAUAGCAGUAAGCAAGAAGCAACAAUUAGUAUGAAGAAAACGAUAACUGUCAAUUCAUCAUCCAAAAAUGUCUGCACAAACUAAAUCUGGCACUUCUAAGUGCCAGAAGCAAAUUCUCACGCCACACAGGGUCAAAUAAUGCACAUCGGAUUUAGUUCCACAGGGUCACCUAGGAGAGGAACUUGGAUGGGUUCUUGGAGCUAACCUGGAGUAGAUCUUGAAGCUUGGACGGAGGUGGUGGCGGUCACAAGGCCGACGACGAAGAUGAGGAAGAAGCCGGUGAGGGGCGAGCACGGCGGCGGCGGCGGCGGGCGAGCACGGGCAGGGACGGGGACGCGGAGGAGGGGUGCCUGGGUGACGAUGCGCAACGCAGAGGGGGAUG
Molecule: long non-coding RNA, 761 nt
Filed under: Setaria italica (foxtail millet)
Lineage: Eukaryota; Viridiplantae; Streptophyta; Magnoliopsida; Poales; Poaceae
Description: long non-coding RNA (SITA_LNC003786)
Source: RNAcentral